This 247-nucleotide unclassified non-coding RNA is filed under the name Glomeraceae sp. Its description in RNAcentral is "partial contains 5.8S ribosomal RNA and internal transcribed spacer 2". The stretch from base 1 to 71 matches the Rfam family "5.8S ribosomal RNA", at positions 84 to 154 of the family's 154-position model. The record is from RNAcentral. Lineage: Eukaryota; Fungi; Glomeromycota; Glomeromycetes; Glomerales; Glomeraceae.
GUGAAUCAUCAAAUUUUUGAACGCAAAUUGCACUCUCUGGUAUUCCGGAGAGUACGCCUGUUUGAGAGUCAGUUUAAAUAAAAAUCGUUGUGGUUUCUGCCUAUCUGGGUGACGCACCGGAUUUGUGUCGUCUUGCCUUCGGUGAAGUGACCUAAAAUUUUGCAUGAUUUUUUUCGAACGUAUUUAAAUGAUUUUACGUACGUUUGCGAUAGCGGAUACUAGGUGUUGUCAUCCUCAUAAUUCGCGC